GUAGUCUCGCACAGAUGCAUAUCAAUAAGCGGAGGAAAAGAAACUAACAAGGAUUCCCUUAGUAACGGCGAGUGAAGCGGGAAGAGCUCAAAUUUGAAAUCUUCAAGGUUUUACCUUGACGAAUUGUAGUUUAAAGAAGUGUUUUCUGUUGAAGUUUUGGUAAAAGUUCUUUGGAAUAGGACAUCAUAGAGGGUGAGAAUCCCGUAUUUGACCAUUAUUUUCAGCUGCGUGAUACACUUUCAAAGAGUCGGAUUAGUUUGGGAAUGCAGGUCCAAAAUGGGUGGUAAAUUUCAUCUAAAGCUAAAUAUUGGCGAGAGACCGAUAGCGAACAAGUACCGUGAGGGAAAGAUGAAAAGAACUUUGAAAAGAGAGUUAAACAGUACGUGAAAUUGUCAAAAGGGAAGCGUUUGACACCAGUGUUGUUUUUCUGAAAAUCAAUUAAAGGACUGUUUAUGCUAAGUUGUUUAGACUUUAUCAGCUAACUGUUUAGUUUUGAGCUUUUCUUUAAUGCACUUUUCAGUUAACAAGUCAACAUCAAUUUCUUUUGCUGUAAAAAAGCUUGAGGAAGGUGGCUUGAGAUUCGUCUUAAGUGUUUAUAGCCUCUUGCCUAUGCAGUCGGAGAGAUUGAGGUCUGCAGCGUAGAUCCUUCGGGGCUAAAUGCAUUUGUGCUAAGUUAUAGCAUUUUAUAGACAACUUGUUGACUAUGAUUUGUCUUGUAGCUUACUCGCUUAUGUUAUUUUACCUACGCUUAGGAUGUUGAUGUGAUACUGCGAGCA
RNAcentral lists this ribosomal RNA (776 nucleotides) under uncultured Neocallimastigales. RNAcentral's name for it is "partial large subunit ribosomal RNA". It matches the Rfam family "Eukaryotic large subunit ribosomal RNA", at positions 24 to 646 of the family's 3401-position model. Lineage: Eukaryota; Fungi; Neocallimastigomycota; Neocallimastigomycetes; Neocallimastigales. The record is from RNAcentral.